Molecule: ribosomal RNA, 475 nt
Filed under: uncultured bacterium
Lineage: Bacteria
Description: SSU rRNA
Rfam family: Bacterial small subunit ribosomal RNA
Source: RNAcentral
AGGAUAAACGCUGGCGGCGUGCCUAACACAUGCAAGUCGAACGCGCUUUCGGGCUUCGGUGCGAGAGCGAGUGGCGGACGGGUGAGUAACACAUGGGUACCUACCUUGGAGUGAGGGAUACCGGCGAGAAAUCGCCGACAAUACCGCAUAGGCUUCUUCACAAGGGAAGCAAAGUGACGCGAGUCACGCUGUGAGAUGGGCCUGUGGCCGAUUAGCUAGUUGGGGGGUAACGGCUUCCCAAGGCGACGAUCGGUAGCUGGUCUGAGAGGACGAUCAGCCACACUGGGAUUGAGAACGGCCCAGACUCCUACGGGGGCAGCAGUGAGGAAUUUUCCGCAAUGGAGGCAACUCUGACGGAGCAACGCCGCGUGCAGGAGGAAGGUUUUCGGAUCGUAAACUGCUUUUCUCGGGGACGAGCGAAGGACGGUACCCGAGGGAAGAACGCCCCGGCUAACGUACGCCGACCAGCAGCCGC